GACCGACUGGCCCAGUGGUUAAGGCGCUCGUCUUACAUUUAUAAGUAUUCACGAGAGAUCCCAGGUUCGAUCCCUGGGUCGGUCA
Aspergillus avenaceus is the source of this 85-nucleotide non-coding RNA. The record is from the annotation of a GenBank genome assembly. Lineage: Eukaryota; Fungi; Ascomycota; Eurotiomycetes; Eurotiales; Aspergillaceae.